AGAAUCGUUAACCAAUCAAAUUUAAGCACAUGUAAGUAUGCCUUAAUUGGCAUCCGAAUAGCUGUAGUUGGAUUCGAUUUAUUCAAGUGUCAAUCAGUUUUUGCUAUGUGUUUUUCAAAAUAUUAUAAAUUUAUAAAUAAUAUAUCUCACGAGAUAAAAUAGAUAUAAUAAAAUUUAAAUUGAAAAUACGAUAACAUAUCAUUUACUGAAUACAUUUUACAGUGAAUAUAAUAAUUUUUAACUUAACCUACAAGUAUAUGAAGUACAUAAAUAUCAUUACGAAUAAACUUUCUACGCGAUCUAUAUAGUAAUUUCCAUGACUCGAAGGAACAACAAGCGAAGACAUUUACUGUUAUGAUGCUGUAAUUCUCUUACGAGAACGGAAUGGCAACUUUCUUGCCACGCCUAAUGUCAAGAGCGCCAUUUUGUGUCCUAUACUCUUCGUUCCAUCCAUUCUCUGUAUCUGAUGUGUUCAUUUCCAAAAGGACAAGUUAAACAGUAACUCGAACUCGUGCAAGAUUCUAAUCUACUUUAAAUUUUCUUUACCGAAAAAUAACUUUAUCACCAGGAAAUUAAAUCUGAAUUAACAGAGAAAUUGCCUAUUAAAAAUUCCUUUAAACAAGAUAUUGUAUCAUUGAAAAGACAAAGGAUGAAAAAUAUAUAAUUAAAACAUACCAGAAUUAGUGUGACCGUGUCCAGCCCCAGUGCUAUUUGUCGCCGAGUGAACAGCAUUGCUUGCAGCAUUCGCAACAUGUUUCAAUGCGCUUAUCACCAUCAUAUCUUCAACUACACUUGAAUCACGACUGUUCCAUCCAGGUCUUCCAGGUUUAACAAGAUACAUCAUCUUGUACGGAAAGAGAAUUAUUAUUUGAUUAUUGCGUUGGAUGAAAGGACCGAAUUUUUAACGAAAUUUUUAAUAGGUUUGAUUAAAUAUUCAUUCACAUUGGAAAAGAAGAUUAAAAUUAUUACAAAUGAAAUAUUUCAUUAAUUAUUGAUGAAUCGGUCAUUUACAUGUGCAAUAAUCUAAAGAAUAGAGUUAUGAGACAAUUUCAACACAAUUUCUGGAUCGUUCGCGCGUCUAAUCGAACCGACUUGGAGAGGUCGAGGAACGCGUGGAAAAUGUGGAAAAACGAAUGUUCAAAGGAACACAGCCAGUCAUGACUGUCGUCUAGACACGACUAAAAGUCGUUCCAGCGCGUAGAGAAUGCGAAAGCCAAUCGCCGCUGGCACACAGACAACCGAGAGAGGUUGGUGGUUGCCACGUCCCCUCUUCUCCUUCGGCCUUCUUCGGCUGAGUUUCACCUUUGCGGAAGCUUCGAACGGGCUGAGUGUAGGUGUUGGACAACAGCGGUGGGAUCCACUCUAUUUCGCCAUCAAGAGGCUGAUGACCUGGCUAAGCGUUACACGCCACGGACUUUGCAAUAAUCGAAUUGUUAGGCUCGAUAGUUUUGCGUUUUCGACCUAGUUCAGAAACGAUACCUUCUACCCUACUGUCCUCAAGCAUCAAGAGUGUCUAUAAUCUUGUGACGAAUGGACCGUGAAAUUGAUGGAGAAGAGAUACCGUUUGAUCCCUUUGAGAUGAAUUGACUUAAUUGUUUUGAUAUUUAAAAUUUGAACAUGUGCAAAAUUCGGAUUUACAUCUACGGCUGAAGGAAAUUCUAUUAUGGAACAAACGAUAUUUUAAUUUUUAAAUAAUUUCUUUUCCCUUUCACUCAUCGUUUUUUUUUUCUACAUUGGAUAAAAUAACAAAGGAACUCACAACUUUGAUAGAGUAAAAUUAAUUAAGAAUUAAGAAUUAAUUUAUUCUUGAAUUUUUUGACACGAGAAGAAGUUUAAUUGGGUUAAUUGGUUUCCACGCGAUUACGCGAAUGAAGCAUCUGA
Molecule: long non-coding RNA, 1881 nt
Organism: Apis mellifera (honey bee)
Lineage: Eukaryota; Metazoa; Arthropoda; Insecta; Hymenoptera; Apidae
Exons: 6
Source: RefSeq, a predicted model, not a curated record